GCUUAUUGUGACAUUUCCAAAAAUGUUCUCACUAAGGAGAAUCCCAAAAUGAAGAUCAGUAAAGAAGUUCUAGUAGUUUUCUGAUACACAGCUCUUACAAGAGAGAAAAACGGGAGGCAUCUGCAGAAACUAGAGUGGUAUGGAAAAGUUAUAUAUUGUUUCAUACAUGAAUGGUGGCUGAUAAGAUUACUCUUGCCCUGCUAAAUUAACCAUACAGUGGUAGCAUUGGUUGUGCAACCUCGUGCAAGUAAGAACAACCUUGAAAGCAUCCGCUUUAGCUUCACUGACAUCCUGAGGAACUGUUAUGUUUCCCUGGUUCUCCAGGUGGGAAGACAAACAUCAGGACAAGCAUUUCUGGAAGAGGAGAAAACUGCUUCUUUAGAAAUGGCUUUAAAACUGGACCGCCAGCUCCACCCAUUCACAUCAGAGAGCAGGAUUCAUGAGCUCAGCAUGAAAGCAAUGAUUUGUUUCUUGUGCUUCCUUGCUUCCCAGCCCUUGCCUGCCCUGCUUCUGUGACAUCACAAAGACCUGCCUUUGUGACAUCACAGUGCUCUGUCUUCUUGACUUCAGCUUUUGAAACUGAAAUUUCAAAGAAUGGAUGCUGUUGCCUGACAACCCAAACAGUAUUCAUGCAAACAGUACAAUGGGAGCACCCUGAGUAUUGUAGAACAUUGUAAUGAAGCCCCAAAAGGUUCCAUUGUGCAUAGCUGCCCCACACAGAAAAAUAAGUGGCACCACCUCCUUUACCAUGUUGAAGCACUCAUAGAGGUGUGGGUGGUGGUGUCAGUGGCAUUUCCUUGUGUAUCAUAUCUGAUGUUGAUGGUUCUCGGAGCCAGGUAUUAUUCAUACGGCUGCAUUAUGGAGGCAUGUAGAUAUGGCUAAGAGAAAAAGUCCACUAGCAGAAGCUCAGAAGCAGCCAUGGUUGGCUCAGGGGGUGCUGAGUGUGUGGUAGUAGUAGCCCCUCAUCCUGGCUAAUGGCUGGUUCAGACCCAUUCACCAAGAGGACCAGAAAAGAGAGACAUGAGAUAUAGGCCCUGGCAAGAUGCUGCAGGCGAGGUGACAUAACACACUGCAAUGUCACAACAUUAGAUCUAGAGCUACUUCUGCAUUAGCUGAUUGUGCAGAUGAGCACAAGAGAAUUGGGGUAAGCGCUCCCAUAAUCCAGAUGAAGCCUGAUUCACCAGGCAGUAUGAAAACUGAAAGCUGGAGAGGGGACACAUUAUA
This 1224-nucleotide long non-coding RNA is filed under the name Pogona vitticeps (central bearded dragon). Its description in RNAcentral is "lncRNA (ENSPVIG00000024682.1)". Lineage: Eukaryota; Metazoa; Chordata; Lepidosauria; Squamata; Agamidae. The record is from RNAcentral.